This 315-nucleotide long non-coding RNA is filed under the name Mus spretus (western wild mouse). Its description in RNAcentral is "lncRNA (ENSMSPG00010036892.1)". The record is from RNAcentral. Lineage: Eukaryota; Metazoa; Chordata; Mammalia; Rodentia; Muridae.
GCAGACAUUCCUAACACCACCACGGGAUGACUUAGUGGAGUGCCAAAAGAGCAAAGAGCAGUCAGUGAGUGGAAAGCAGGAUAGCCCACCCUGGUGAAGCCUGAGUCUCCAGCCCAGAUUCCUCUCAUAUCUCACUGCUUGCUGAUGGGGAAAAGAAGAGACAGACCCACGAGACUAGACACCUUUGUGGAUGAGUUCUAGCCAAAUGAUCAGAGAUGUAAUGUGACCAGGUCUCUCCAGCUUCCACCACAGAGUGUCUUUUACUAUAUAUAUGAGUCUAACCUAACAUUUGAGCCAAAUAAACCUUCUCUCCCA